This 448-nucleotide ribosomal RNA is filed under the name uncultured bacterium. Its description in RNAcentral is "bacterial SSU rRNA". It matches the Rfam family "Bacterial small subunit ribosomal RNA", at positions 335 to 774 of the family's 1533-position model. The record is from RNAcentral.
ACUCCUACGGGAGGCAGCAGUGGGGAAUAUUGGACAAUGGGGGGAACCCUGAUCCAGCCAUGCCGCGUGUGUGAAGAAGGCCUUUUGGUUGUAAAGCACUUUAAGCGAGGAGGAGGCUCCCAGUAUUAAUACUACUGGAGAGUGGACGUUACUCGCAGAAUAAGCACCGGCUAACUCUGUGCCAGCAGCCGCGGUAAUACAGAGGGUGCAAGCGUUAAUCGGAUUUACUGGGCGUAAAGCGUGCGUAGGUGGCCAAUUAAGUCAAAUGUGAAAUCCCCGAGCUUAACUUGGGAAUUGCAUUCGAUACUGGUUGGCUAGAGUAUGGGAGAGGAUGGUAGAAUUCCAGGUGUAGCGGUGAAAUGCGUAGAGAUCUGGAGGAAUACCGAUGGCGAAGGCAGCCAUCUGGCCUAAUACUGACACUGAGGUACGAAAGCAUGGGGAGCAAACA